CAGGACUGGAACUCCAACAUGUCAAA
Molecule: unclassified non-coding RNA, 26 nt
Filed under: Mus musculus (house mouse)
Lineage: Eukaryota; Metazoa; Chordata; Mammalia; Rodentia; Muridae
Description: oocyte_clustered_small_RNA7542
Source: RNAcentral